RNAcentral lists this ribosomal RNA (321 nucleotides) under uncultured eukaryote. RNAcentral describes it as "partial 18S ribosomal RNA". It matches the Rfam family "Eukaryotic small subunit ribosomal RNA", at positions 1470 to 1796 of the family's 1831-position model. The record is from RNAcentral.
CCCUUAGAUGCCCUGGGCCGCACGCGCGCUACACUGACAUGUUCAACAAGCCUCCUAGUUCGACAGAAUUUGGGAAAUCUUUGAACGCAUGUCGUGAUAGGGAUAGAUCAUUGCAAUUAUUGAUCUUGAACGAGGAAUUCCUAGUAAACGCGAGUCAUCAGCUCGCAUUGAUUACGUCCCUGCCCUUUGUACACACCGCCCGUCGCACCUACCGAUUGAAUGUUUCGGUGAAGAUUCCGGAUAGGACUUUUUUGAUUUAUUUCAAUUUUGUCUUAAAAGCUAUCUAAACCUCAACAUUUAGAGGAAGGUGAAGUCGUAACA